This 493-nucleotide ribosomal RNA is filed under the name uncultured bacterium. RNAcentral's name for it is "partial 16S ribosomal RNA". It matches the Rfam family "Bacterial small subunit ribosomal RNA", at positions 28 to 507 of the family's 1533-position model. The record is from RNAcentral.
GACGAACGCUGGCGGCGUGCUUAACACAUGCAAGUCGAACGGAAAGGCCUGCUUUCCCUUGUGGAUUGCGGGUACUCGAGUGGCGAACGGGUGAGUAACACGUGAGUGAUCUGCCCCAACUUGGGUAUAAGCCUGGGAAACUGGGUCUAAUUCCCGAUAGGACUUCAGGGUGGUGCCUGUUGUGGAAAACGAUUUUCUAGUGGUUGGGGGUGAGCUCGCGGCCUAUCCGCUUGUUGGUGGGGUAAUGGCCUACCAAGGCGGCGACGGGUAGCCGGCCUGACAGGCUGGACGGGCACAUUGAGACUGAGAAGCGACCCAGACUCCGACGGAAGGCAGAGGUGGGGACGAGUGGAAGAUGGGCGGAAGACUGAUCCAGCGACGCCGCGUGGGUGAUGACGGCCUUCGGGUUGUAAACUGCUUUCGAGGGCGAGGAAGCCACCUGGUUGGAAGGGUGGUGACGGUAGUGGGAGAAGAAGCACCGGCUAACUACGUG